Molecule: ribosomal RNA, 506 nt
Filed under: uncultured Rhodococcus sp.
Lineage: Bacteria; Bacillati; Actinomycetota; Actinomycetes; Mycobacteriales; Nocardiaceae
Description: bacterial SSU rRNA
Rfam family: Bacterial small subunit ribosomal RNA
Source: RNAcentral
CGCCUUGCCAGCCCGCUCAGAAACUUAAAGGAAAUUGACGGGGGCCCGCACAAGCGGCGGAGCAUGUGGAUUAAUUCGAUGCAACGCGAAGAACCUUACCUGGGUUUGACAUACACCGGAAAACCGUAGAGAUACGGUCCCCCUUGUGGUCGGUGUACAGGUGGUGCAUGGCUGUCGUCAGCUCGUGUCGUGAGAUGUUGGGUUAAGUCCCGCAACGAGCGCAACCCUUGUCUUAUGUUGCCAGCACGUGAUGGUGGGGACUCGUAAGAGACUGCCGGGGUCAACUCGGAGGAAGGUGGGGACGACGUCAAGUCAUCAUGCCCCUUAUGUCCAGGGCUUCACACAUGCUACAAUGGCCAGUACAGAGGGCUGCGAGACCGUGAGGUGGAGCGAAUCCCUUAAAGCUGGUCUCAGUUCGGAUCGGGGUCUGCAACUCGACCCCGUGAAGUCGGAGUCGCUAGUAAUCGCAGAUCAGCAACGCUGCGGUGAAUACGUUCCCGGGCCUU